RNAcentral lists this ribosomal RNA (253 nucleotides) under uncultured bacterium. RNAcentral's name for it is "partial 16S ribosomal RNA". It matches the Rfam family "Bacterial small subunit ribosomal RNA", at positions 524 to 776 of the family's 1533-position model. The record is from RNAcentral.
UACAGAGGUCCCAAGCGUUGUUCGGAUUCAUUGGGCGUAAAGGGUGCGUAGGUGGCGCCGUAAGUCGGGUGUGAAAUUUCGGAGCUUAACUCCGAAACUGCAUUCGAUACUGCGGUGCUUGAGGACUGGAGAGGAGACUGGAAUUCAUGGUGUAGCAGUGAAAUGCGUAGAGAUCAUGAGGAAGACCAGUGGCGAAGGCGGGUCUCUGGACCGGAACUGACGCUGAGGCGCGAAAGCGUGGGGAGCAAACAGG